AGGGAAACCGAGUCUUAACUGGGCGUUAAGUUGCAGGGUAUAGACCCGAAACCCGGUGAUCUAGCCAUGGGCAGGUUGAAGGUUGGGUAACACUAACUGGAGGACCGAACCGACUAAUGUUGAAAAAUUAGCGGAUGACUUGUGGCUGGGGGUGAAAGGCCAAUCAAACCGGGAGAUAGCUGGUUCUCCCCGAAAGCUAUUUAGGUAGCGCCUCGUGAACUCAUCUUCGGGGGUAGAGCACUGUUUCGGCUAGGGGGUCAUCCCGACUUACCAACCCGAUGCAAACUGCGAAUACCGAAGAAUGUUAUCACGGGAGACACACGGCGGGUGCUAACGUCCGUCGUGAAGAGGGAAACAACCCAGACCGCCAGCUAAGGUCCCAAAGUCACAGUUAAGUGGGAAACGAUGUGGGAAGGCUCAGACAGCCAGGAUGUUGGCUUAGAAGCAGCCAUCAUUUAAAGAAAGCGUAAUAGCUCACUGGUCGAGUCGGCCUGCGCGGAAGAUGUAACGGGGCUAAACUGUGCACCGAAGCUGCGGCAGCGACGCUUAUGCGUUGUUGGGUAGGGGAGCGUUCUGUAAGCCUGCGAAGGUGUCCUGUGAGGGAUGCUGGAGGUAUCAGAAGUGCGAAUGCUGACAUAAGUAACGAUAAUGCGGGUGAAAAGCCCGCUCGCCGGAAGACCAAGGGUUCCUGUCCAACGUUAAUCGGGGCAGGGUGAGUCGACCCCUAAGGCGAGGCCGAAAGGCGUAGUCGAUGGGAAACGGGUUAAUAUUCCCGUACUUGGUGUUACUGCGAAGGGGGGACGGAGAAGGCUAUGUUGGCCGGGCGACGGUUGUCCCGGUUUAAGCGUGUAGGCUGGUUUUCCAGGCAA
This 869-nucleotide ribosomal RNA is filed under the name Salmonella enterica subsp. enterica serovar Kentucky. RNAcentral's name for it is "partial 23S ribosomal RNA". It matches the Rfam family "Bacterial large subunit ribosomal RNA", at positions 670 to 1539 of the family's 2925-position model. Lineage: Bacteria; Pseudomonadati; Pseudomonadota; Gammaproteobacteria; Enterobacterales; Enterobacteriaceae. The record is from RNAcentral.